UUUUCGGUGAUCUGUCCCCGGUCAAAGCUGUCCCCGGAAAUGUCCCCGAUUUUGACACUGAAUGGGGGGAAAAUGCGCGCAGACUCAAACACCAGUUAUUACGGUAGUCAUUUAACGCAUCACCAGAGAAGACGUCGUAUGACGUACAGACGUUAUCAGGACGUAUGACCAGACGCAGCAGCGUCAACAACAACAAUCUAGAGGCGGCAAAAAAUGAAAAAGAGAAGAUCAGCGGUCUCAUAAAUGGGGCGCCACAAGGGAUGUUGGGCCCCAUGAAAAGAUAUCACACUGGGUCCCACCAUCACACACAGGCAACGCCAACCAUGUGCAGUUUCUGUAACCACACCUCUACCUGUGAAGGCUUCAAUUAUCUUAUAGUCCGAUACUAACUUUACAAUAUCUACUGACACUGAGCUGUGAUAAUAUAACACUGUGAAGACAUGCAGGAAACAUUCUGCAUACUGAGAAAGUGUUUGUUUAAUUAUAAAUUUCAUUUUCUAUUAAAAUCCAUUAAUGAUGUUUCUUUUAACCUAACUAAUGUUCUAAUAUUUUUUAAGGGCCCCUGUCAGUCACUGGCCCACAGAAUUGUCCUAACUUUUCGCCCCCUAAUGGCGCCUCUGACCUUUUGUGUAAUAAAAGCUGGUUAAAAUA
Gadus morhua (Atlantic cod) is the source of this 651-nucleotide long non-coding RNA. RefSeq lists it as uncharacterized. The record is from RefSeq and is a predicted model, not a curated record. The transcript is spliced from 2 exons. NCBI's taxonomy places the organism in Eukaryota, Metazoa, Chordata, Actinopteri, Gadiformes, Gadidae.